GACGAACGCUGGCGGCGUGCUUAACACAUGCAAGUCGAACGGAAAGGCCUUUUCGGAGGUACUCGAGUGGCGAACGGGUGAGUAACACGUGGGUGAUCUGCCCUGCACUCUGGGAUAAGCCUGGGAAACUGGGUCUAAUACCGGAUAGGACCGCACUUUAGUGUGUGUGGUGGAAAGUUUUUUCGGUGUAGGACGAGCCCGCGGCCUAUCAGCUUGUUGGUGGGGUAAUGGCCUACCAAGGCGGCGACGGGUAGCCGGACUGAGAGGUUGGUCGGCCACAUUGGGACUGAGAUACGGCCCAGACUCCUACGGGAGGCAGCAGUGGGGAAUAUUGCACAAUGGGCGCAAGCCUGAUGCAGCGACGCCGCGUGGGGGAUGACGGCCUUCGGGUUGUAAACUCCUUUCGCCAGGGACGAAGCGUUUUGUGACGGUACCUGGAGAGGAAGCACCGGCUAACUACGUGCCAGCAGCCGCGGUAAUACGUAGGGUGCAAGCGUUGUCCGGAAUUACUGGGCGUAAAGAGCUCGUAGGUGGUUUGUCACGUCGUCUGUGAAAUUCCACAGCUUAACUGUGGGCGUGCAGGCGAUACGGGCUGACUUGAGUACUGUAGGGGUAACUGGAAUUCCUGGUGUAGCGGUGAAAUGCGCAGAUAUCAGGAGGAACACCGAUGGCGAAGGCAGGUUACUGGGCAGUUACUGACGCUGAGGAGCGAAAGCAUGGGUAGCAAACAGG
RNAcentral lists this ribosomal RNA (732 nucleotides) under uncultured Corynebacterium sp. RNAcentral describes it as "bacterial SSU rRNA". It matches the Rfam family "Bacterial small subunit ribosomal RNA", at positions 28 to 776 of the family's 1533-position model. The record is from RNAcentral. Lineage: Bacteria; Bacillati; Actinomycetota; Actinomycetes; Mycobacteriales; Corynebacteriaceae.